This 253-nucleotide ribosomal RNA is filed under the name uncultured bacterium. RNAcentral describes it as "partial 16S ribosomal RNA". It matches the Rfam family "Bacterial small subunit ribosomal RNA", at positions 524 to 776 of the family's 1533-position model. The record is from RNAcentral.
UACGUAGGGUCCGAGCGUUGUCCGGAAUUAUUGGGCGUAAAGCGCGCGUAGGCGGCUCGGAAAGUCGGUCGUGAAAGGCUGGGGCUCAACCCCAGGACUGCGUCCGAUACUUCCGAGCUGGAGGCAGGUAGGGGAGAUCGGAAUUCCUGGUGUAGCGGUGAAAUGCGCAGAUAUCAGGAGGAACACCGGUGGCGAAGGCGGAUCUCUGGGCCUUGCCUGACGCUGAGGCGCGAAAGCUAGGGGAGCGAACAGG